CAACUACUCCCUUCGUCUCAAAAAAAUUGUCUUAAAUUUGUCUAGAUAUGGUGUAUCUAGUCAUGUUUUAAUAUUUAGAUACAUCUAUUUUAAAUAAAACUACGACAAAAAAUUUAAGACGGAGUGAGUAUAAU
RNAcentral lists this microRNA precursor (134 nucleotides) under Hordeum vulgare. RNAcentral's name for it is "microRNA MIR1122". It matches the Rfam family "MIR1120/MIR1122 microRNA precursor family". Lineage: Eukaryota; Viridiplantae; Streptophyta; Magnoliopsida; Poales; Poaceae. The record is from RNAcentral.